UUAUGGAAAACCUGGGCCCAGUUCUGUCUUGCCAAAUGGAUGCUCACUUUCCAAAAUGGAGGAUGUCAUCAUGUACAGUCUCAGUGGUGAUGCAGUUAUAACACGUAUAUCCCAGAAAACCUUGUACGGAGUGCGAGAAGAGAACUCCUGAGCAAGAAGUCCAAGGUAAUCAAGUCAACUUCAGAGUGGGGAAAACAGCUGAAAGAGGUAGACUGUGAAGAAUUCUAUCACUGGCCAAAAUUCUGAGGGACCCAUCAAAAGAGGCAGUUUCUUCAUCCUUAGUGUUAUAUCAAU
Molecule: long non-coding RNA, 294 nt
Organism: Passer domesticus (house sparrow)
Lineage: Eukaryota; Metazoa; Chordata; Aves; Passeriformes; Passeridae
Exons: 3
Source: RefSeq, a predicted model, not a curated record